Molecule: transfer RNA, 73 nt
Filed under: Felis catus (domestic cat)
Lineage: Eukaryota; Metazoa; Chordata; Mammalia; Carnivora; Felidae
Also listed under: 3 other names
Rfam family: tRNA
About the family: Transfer RNA (tRNA) molecules are approximately 80 nucleotides in length.
Source: Rfam by way of RNAcentral
ACCUGGCUGGCUCAAUCAGUAGAGCAUGUGACUCUUGAUCUCAGAGUCAUGAGUUCAAGCCUCAUGUUAGGUG